GAACGCUGGCGGAACGCUUUACACAUGCAAGUCGAACGGUAACAGCGAGGAAAGCUUGCUUUUUUCGGCUGACGAGUGGCGAACGGGUGAGUAAUACAUCGGAUCGUGUCCGCUCGUGGGGGACAACCAUCCGAAAGGAUGGCUAAUACCGCAUGAGUUCUACGGAAGAAAGAGGGGGACCUGCUUGCAGGCCUCUCGCGAGCGGAGCGGCCGAUGACUGAUUAGCCGGUUGGUGAGGUAACGGCUCACCAAAGCAGCGAUCAGUAGCUGGUCUGAGAGGACGACCAGCCACACUGGGACUGAGACACGGCCCAGACUCCUACGGGAGGCAGCAGUGGGGAAUUUUGGACAAUGGGCGCAAGCCUGAUCCAGCUAUUCCGCGUGUGGGAUGACGGCCCUCGGGUUGUAAACCACUUUAGUAGAGAACGAAAAGGAGCUAUCGAAUAAAUAGCUCUGCUGACGGUACUCUAAGAAUAAGCACCGGCUAACUACGUGCCAGCAGCCGCGGUAAUACGUAGGGUGCGAGCGUUAAUCGGAAUUACUGGGCGUAAAGGGUGUGCAGGCGGCUGAGUAAGACAGAUGUGAAAUCCCCGGGCUUAACCUGGGAACCGCAUAUGUGACUGCUUGGCUAGAGUGCGUCAGAGGGAGGUGGAAUUCCACGUGUAGCAGUGAAAUGCGUAGAUAUGUGGAA
Molecule: ribosomal RNA, 691 nt
Filed under: uncultured Parasutterella sp.
Lineage: Bacteria; Pseudomonadati; Pseudomonadota; Betaproteobacteria; Burkholderiales; Sutterellaceae
Description: bacterial SSU rRNA
Rfam family: Bacterial small subunit ribosomal RNA
Source: RNAcentral